Pelobates cultripes (western spadefoot toad) is the source of this 286-nucleotide non-coding RNA. The record is from the annotation of a GenBank genome assembly. NCBI's taxonomy places the organism in Eukaryota, Metazoa, Chordata, Amphibia, Anura, Pelobatidae.
GGCUGCUCACUUCCUUAAACUUAACCUGUCCAAAACAAAACUUCUAGUUUUUCCUCCCUCAAGUGCUGCUACUCCUGUGUCUGUCUCCAUCCAAGUCAACGGCGCUACUAUCACCUCUACCUCGCAGGCUCGCUGCCUAGGGGUUUUGAUCUCUCUGAUCUCUAUUUUACUCCCCAUAUCCAAUCAAUGGCCAAAUCCUGUCGCUUCCAACUCCAGAACAUAGUUCGCAUCCGCCCAUAUCUAACGCCGGACGCGGCUAAGGUACUGGUUCAUGCUGUUGUUCUCU